This 278-nucleotide non-coding RNA is filed under the name bovine gut metagenome. RNAcentral's name for it is "Rickettsia sRNA47". The stretch from base 1 to 134 matches the Rfam family "Rickettsia sRNA47", at positions 38 to 171 of the family's 316-position model. The record is from RNAcentral.
UUUUUGAACAAGUCCUUUACCAAAAGAAUUUGAACCAAUAACUAAUGCUCUCUUAUAAUCUUGCAAUGUUCCGGUAACGAUUUCUGAAGCGGAUGCAGAAUAACCAUUGAUAAGAAUAAUCAUUGGUAAAUCGGUACAUAUCGGUUUAUCUUCCGUACAAAAUUGUUGUUCCAGUGUUUUAUCUUUACAUUUCGUAGAAACAACUAAACUACCUUCUUUUAUAAAUAAACUACAUGUAUUUACAGCAGAAUCUACUAAUCCUCCCGGAUUAUUUCUUA